UGUAAACACAAAUAAGUAAUUGAGCUGUUUCUUUUCCAAAUUGGAACCUAAUUGGUCUGAAGAAGCGUGUAGAUGACGGUCGGGGAUUUUUCCAAAUUAUUUUUUGACCUUUGGGAUCACUGGAAUUUGUAAUCAGCUGCAAUGACUGUCCGGUGCUACCAUCGAAUCCCCAUUUUCCUAUCAAAAUUAAGUUUUUAGCGGAAUCAUCCUUAAUGUUCUCAAUAACUUCGUGUUGAAGUUUUAAAAUCCGUGAGGCUCUGUUUUUUUUUGCUUUCAAAACCUGCUCGUAAAUAGGCAAUAUAUCAAAUGAAACAAGUGUAUUAAUAAACUUACGAAUAAGCAAAUAUUGAUGUUUCGUUAAAUUCGUCUCCACAAAAAGUGAUAAAACUUCGUCAAUAUUGGCUUGACAAUGUUUUGGGCCUGAAGACAAGCUGCACGAUCGAAGCAAGGAAGCAGCAGAGUUAUCAAUUUUCGCUAUUUCAGCAAUCCUUCGACGUUUUGCUCUAUUCGAACAAUCUGUAAAAUCAAUUUGCUGCCGUCCAAGAUUGGCACUUUCUUGUUUUGGUUGAGACAACUCAUGACCACAGGUCAAGACAAUUGUUUCUAUUUCAUUAAGCCAACUUGAUUGAUAUUGCAUAAUUGCAGUUUUC
Long non-coding RNA from Drosophila sulfurigaster albostrigata, 650 nucleotides. RefSeq lists it as uncharacterized. NCBI's taxonomy places the organism in Eukaryota, Metazoa, Arthropoda, Insecta, Diptera, Drosophilidae. The transcript has 3 exons. The record is from RefSeq and is a predicted model, not a curated record.